This 414-nucleotide ribosomal RNA is filed under the name uncultured bacterium. RNAcentral's name for it is "bacterial SSU rRNA". It matches the Rfam family "Bacterial small subunit ribosomal RNA", at positions 355 to 787 of the family's 1533-position model. The record is from RNAcentral.
UGGGGGAUAUUGCACAAUGGGGGAAACCCUGAUGCAGCGACGCCGCGUGAGUGAAGAAGUAUUUCGGUAUGUAAAGCUCUAUCAGCAGGGAAGAAGAUGACAGUACCUGACUAAGAAGCCCCGGCUAACUACGUGCCAGCAGCCGCGGUAAUACGUAGGGGGCAAGCGUUAUCCGGAUUUACUGGGUGUAAAGGGAGCGUAGACGGUUAUGUAAGUCUGGAGUGAAAGCCCGGGGCCCAACCCCGGGACUGCUUGAAACUGUGUAACUAGAGUACAGGAGGGGCAGGCGGAAUUGCCUGGUGUAGCGGUGAAAUGCGUAGAUAUCAGGAGGAACACCGGCGGCGAAGGCGGCCUGCUGGACUGAAACUGACGUUGAGGCUCGAAAGCGUGGGGAGCAAACAGGAUUAGAUACCC